This 547-nucleotide ribosomal RNA is filed under the name uncultured Gammaproteobacteria bacterium. RNAcentral describes it as "bacterial SSU rRNA". It matches the Rfam family "Bacterial small subunit ribosomal RNA", at positions 90 to 632 of the family's 1533-position model. The record is from RNAcentral. Lineage: Bacteria; Pseudomonadati; Pseudomonadota; Gammaproteobacteria.
GGCGAGUGGCGGACGGGUGAGUAACGCGUAGGAAUCUGCCUUGAAGCGGGGGACAACCCGGGGAAACUCGGGCUAAUACCGCAUAAUACUCUACGGAGGAAAUCUGGCUACGCAAGUAGCUGGGGCUUUAGGAGGAACCUACAUCCGAUUAGCUAGUUGGUGGGGUAAUGGCUUACCAAGGCGAUGAUCGGUAGCUGGUCUGAGAGGAUGACCAGUCACACUGGGACUGAGACACGGCCCAGACUCCUACGGGAGGCAGCAGUGGGGAAUAUUGGACAAUGGGGGAAACCCUGAUCCAGCAAUGCCGCGUGGGUGAAGAAGGCCUUCGGGUUGUAAAGCCCUUUAGGUGGGGAAGAAGGUUUUAGGGUGAUAAGCCUUAAAAUUUGACGGUACCCGCAGAAUAAGCACCGGCUAACUCUGUGCCAGCAGCCGCGGUAAUACAGAGGGUGCUAGCGUUAAUCGGAUUUACUGGGCGUAAAGGGUGCGUAGGUGGUAAAGCAAGUAAGAUGUGAAAUCCCUGGGCUUAACCUAGGAAGUGCAUCUUAAA